AAACAUCGCCUCUUGAUAAUCUAUAAGAGGUCCAGCCUGCCCAGUGACUUUGUUCAACGGCCGCGGUAUCCUAACCGUGCGAAGGUAGCGUAAUCACUUGUUCUUUAAAUGAGGACUAGUAUGAAUGGCACCACGAAGGUUAUACUGUCUCCUUUUUCUAAUCAGUGAAACUAAUCUCCCCGUGAAGAAGCGAGGAUAAAAAUAUAAGACGAGAAGACCCUAUGGAGCUUUAAACUAACAUACAACUGCCUUUAAUUUUAACAACUCCAGACGAAUAACUACAAUUCAGGCACUUUGAUAUGAAGUUUUAGGUUGGGGUGACCACGGAGUAAAAAACAACCUCCGCAGUGAACAGGACUUCUCCCAUAACCUAAGGGCUACAACCCUAAGAAUCAACAAAUUGACACUAAUUGACCCAAUAUAUUUGAUCAAUGAACCAAGUUACCCUAGGGAUAACAGCGCAAUCCACUUCAAGAGCCCCUAUCGACAAGUGGGUUUACGACCUCGAUGUUGGAUCAGGGUAUCCUGGUGGUGCAGCCGCUACUAAUGGUUCGUUUGUUCAACGAUUAA
Molecule: ribosomal RNA, 570 nt
Filed under: Leptodactylus fragilis
Lineage: Eukaryota; Metazoa; Chordata; Amphibia; Anura; Leptodactylidae
Description: partial small subunit ribosomal RNA
Rfam family: Bacterial large subunit ribosomal RNA
Source: RNAcentral